GAUGAACGCUAGCUACAGGCUUAACACAUGCAAGUCGAGGGGCAGCAUGAACUUAGCUUGCUAAGUUCGAUGGCGACCGGCGCACGGGUGAGUAACACGUAUCCAACCUGCCUUCAACUCAGGGAUAGCCUUUCGAAAGAAAGAUUAAUACUUGAUGGCAUAACCUGGUCUCCUGACUUGGUUAUUAAAGAAUUUCGGUUGAAGAUGGGGAUGCGUUCCAUUAGGCAGUUGGCGGGGUAACGGCCCACCAAACCUACGAUGGAUAGGGGUUCUGAGAGGAAGGUCCCCCACAUUGGGACUGAGACACGGCCCAG
This 314-nucleotide ribosomal RNA is filed under the name uncultured bacterium. Its description in RNAcentral is "bacterial SSU rRNA". It matches the Rfam family "Bacterial small subunit ribosomal RNA", at positions 28 to 334 of the family's 1533-position model. The record is from RNAcentral.